Molecule: long non-coding RNA, 1203 nt
Filed under: Astyanax mexicanus (Mexican tetra)
Lineage: Eukaryota; Metazoa; Chordata; Actinopteri; Characiformes; Acestrorhamphidae
Description: lncRNA (ENSAMXG00005008699.1)
Source: RNAcentral
UGUUUGUCCAUUUUUGUAAGUGUUUUUUUCACUCAAGCAGAACUUUAAUGUUCUAUAGUCAUUGCAUUUAUGAAGUGCAUAUAAAGGGACUGAUUGUAACUUUUGAGUCACUCUUUGUCUUCAGCUUCUCCAUCCGAAUUAAUGCAGACAGAACCACAUCCCUUACUGACACAAGACAAGAUACCUGUCACAGAUCAGUCUAUGAAUCUGGGGGUGUCCCUGGCUGUAGUUGUGCUGUUGUGUGGAAUUAUGACCGUCAUUUUUAUUCUGAUUAAGAAGAACAAUGCAAAGCGUUCAACAGGUACUUUAUAACGCACACACACACACACACACGUUUACAGAUCUGUUGUGAUUUUGUCUUAUUUGAACCUAAUCCAAAUCUGACCUCUUCAAUUCCAGACUUUUCUCAACCAAGGAUUUGCACACAGUCGGACAGGGAUACCUGUAUCUAUGAGGAAAUCACCCCAUCAGACACCUGUUCUUCAGCAAACACCACCCGUAGACCAGGCUUAGCCCUGAGCGACAGCACAGCAACGUACUCUACUCAGUCUGUCCUGAAACCUUCGGCACAGAGCCAAGUCCCGCAUCCUGAGUCCGUGGUUUACUCCGUUAUUACCAGACCCAAGAAGCUCCGAGAUGAUGCAACACCUCCCCCUUCAGCAGAACCAGCUUCCCUUUACUCAGCUGUGAACACUGUGCAGAGUUCAGUCAGAGAGAGCUCUGCCUGUGCUGGAAACUCGCGUGAUGUCUAUACCGUCAUCCAGUUACACUGUGACUAUGAAAGAUCUGCUAUUGGUCAGUAGAUGGCAUCAGUGAGCUAUGAUGAGACAGAUCCCCAUGAUUCAGGGCCUCUGUGACUCACAGUUUAACUCCUAAACAGACCUUGGCCUGUAUGGAGAAGCUGAAUGUUCACUCUGUAAUCUUAAUACUCUUAAUAAUUUUAGAUCAGUUUUAAGAACAAUCAACCCCAAAUUCUGCAUGAUUAAAAAAAACUAGUCAAUCGUAACAGAAUUAAAAGUUUGGAGGACAUGAAAAUAUUGAUUUUGAAAUGUUAGAAGUUCAGGGAAGUGCCAAUUUUAUGAUUUUUAUUCAUUAUAAUUUAAUUUUGGGGUAAUUAGAAAUAGUUGGAUUUCCCCCUCCAAAAAAAUAUCACUGAAAAAAAGCAGAAAUUGUUUCAGAAUAAACCCUUAUUUUGCACCCCCA